GAGCACGUAGGUGGGUUUGUAAGUCAGAUGUGAAAGCCUUCUGUUCAACGGAAGAAUUGCAUCUGAAACUGCGAGUCUUGAGUGUAGGAGGGGAGAGUGGAACUUCUGGUGGAGCGGUGAAAUGCGUAGAUAUCAGAAGGAACGCCGGCGGCGAAAGCGAUUCUCUGGCCUAUUACUGACACUCAGUGUGCGAAAGCUAGGGGAGCAAACGGGAUUAGAUACCCCGGUAGUCCUAGCCGUAAACGAUGGGCACUAAGUAGAGGGGUUUU
Molecule: ribosomal RNA, 269 nt
Filed under: uncultured Planctomycetales bacterium
Lineage: Bacteria; Pseudomonadati; Planctomycetota; Planctomycetia; Planctomycetales
Description: partial 16S ribosomal RNA
Rfam family: Bacterial small subunit ribosomal RNA
Source: RNAcentral